RNAcentral lists this long non-coding RNA (5979 nucleotides) under Heterocephalus glaber (naked mole-rat). Its description in RNAcentral is "lncRNA (ENSHGLG00100037989.1)". Lineage: Eukaryota; Metazoa; Chordata; Mammalia; Rodentia; Bathyergidae. The record is from RNAcentral.
UGCAUAUCAACGUUUACAGCAGCAGAAUUCAUAAUAGCUAAAUCUUGGAAGUGGCCUAUAUAUCCAUCAACAGACAAAUGGAUGAAGAAAAGUGGUAUCUAUACAUAACAGAAUACUACUUGGGUAUAAAAAGGAAUAAAUUUGAGACAUUUGUAGGAAAAUGGAUACACUUUGAAAACAUAAUCUUUUUUUUUUUUUUGUACCGGAGAUCAAAAUUGGGACCUUGAGCUUUCGAGGCAGGUGCCGGAACCACUGAGCUAAAUCCCUGGCUCCGAAAACAUAAUCUUAAAUGAAAUAAAUCAGACACAAGCUUAAAUACUGUACGGUUUCUCUCAUUUGAGAAAUCCAAAAAGUAUAAAUAAAGAGCAAAAUAAAAGAUGGGUAAAAGAAAAUAGGGAGAUAGACCUUUUGCAAAUGGGAAAGGGACCAAGACACUGGGUGGGGGGUUGAAAAGAUUUAAGAUGUGUCAUGUGCAUGUACCAGCUAUCCACAAUAAAUGUAAUUAUUACAUGCUGCAAACAUGAACUAAAAAAAAAAAAUGAAAAUGGGGAAAGGGAUCUACAGACAGAGGAGGGUGGUGGGUGGGGAAGGGAAAGAGAAUAAAAAGAAUCAAGAUACGUUAAGUACACAUGUCCAGUACCUACAAUGAGUGUAAACAUCAUGUACUGCAAACAUGUACUGAUAGUACAUAUUUUUUGGUAGCUGUGCACAGUGGGGCAUGCCUGUAGUCCCAGUACUUGGGAGGCUAAGGCAGGAGAGUAGCUGUGAGUCUGAGGUUAACUGGGCAUACCUAGUGAGUUCAAGGCCAGCCUGGACUACAUAGUGAAACCCUGUGUCAAAAAAAUAAAAUAGCCAGGGAUUUAGCUCAGUAGUUCCGCUGCCUGGCUUGCAAGCGCAAGGACCUGAGUUCGAUCCCCGGUACCAAAAAAAAGAAACUAAAAUAAAAUAAUCUUUUUUGGUAUCUCAGCAAGGUUUUAUGAUUUUCUUCAAUUAUAUUCAGUACCUUCCUAUCAACCUGGUCUUCAAAUAUUUUGUUUUAUAUGUUUUUCUUUUUUAAAUUCAGUAUUGGGGAUUGAACCCAAGGCCUUUGCACUGAGCUACCACUCUAGUCUUUCCUUCCUUCCUUCUUUUUUUUUUUUUGUUUUUUUGAUGCAGGGUCUUGCUAUGUAAUUCAGGCUAGCCUUGAACUAUGUAGCCCAGGCUGGCCUCAAACUCAUGGUGAUCCUCCUGCUUCAGCCUCCUGAGUGCUGGGAUACAGCCAUGUGCCGCCACAUGUGGCUUUCCUUUUAUUUAUUUUUUUGGUACCAGGAUCGAACUUGGGACCUUGUGCUUGCAAGGCAGGCGGCAGAACCACUGAGCUAAAUCCCUGGCCCUAUUUAUUUGGUUUUUUGAGACAGGGUCUCACUGUGUAGCCCAGGCUGGCCUCAAACUGGUGGCAAUCAUCCUGCCUCAGCCUGCCAAGUGCUAGGAUUUCAGGCAUGUGCCACCACACGUGGCUGUUUCCUUUGUGUUUUUUUUUUUUUGGUAUCAGGGAUUGAACUCAGAACCUUGCAAUUGCAAGGCAGGCGGCAGAACCACUGAGCUAAAUCCCCAGACACCUGGCUCUUUCUUGAGACAAGUAUGUAGCUCAGCCUGGCCUUGAGCUCACCGUAAUCCUCUUGCCUCAGCCUCCAGAGUGCUGGGACUACAAGCGUGCACCACCACGCCCAGCUAUACUUCUCAUUUCUGUAGCAAGAAUGAAACUUGCUAUGUUAGCUGAUAAAAUGCCCAUUUCCACUAUUUCCUGGGACCUCAUGACCACUUCUCUCCAGGGUUUCUGUGGCUGGUGGCCCUGGCAAGGGAUGACAUGACAAAAUGGAGGGAAAGGAAGUCAAGUUUAAAGUUGUUAUCAGAUUUGGAACAGCAGACAGGGAAGAGACAAAGCCCACACAUCAGCUUACUCAGUGUGGCCUCUGGGCCACUGCUGGUACCUGAGCAGUUUGUCACUGAGAGCGAGAAUCUCUAGAUGUGGGUGCAAUACACAGUUACAUGACUGACCAACCCGCUUACCAAACAGUAAACAGUACUGACGUUAAUCCGUGACAACUGGAGAACUGGCCCUUAACCACAGAUUGUGUGGGAGAUGCUUCUUUAGACUACAAGUCUAUAGAUUCAGAGAAGCAAGAUCAGACCUGAAGGAAAUUCACAGCUGAGAACAAGGACAACACAGCAGCUCCCAAGGUCAAAGUCAGUUGGAGACAAACUACAUCUUAGCCAACCCUGAGCGGACACCCAAGGGUCAGAUGCUUCUCUUCUCAGGAGGCCUCGCCAAGCGCUAUGUGACACCUUUGCACCAGAUGAGAUGACAAAGCUGGCAGGAGGGGACAUGCCCAUAGUGAUCAAGAGUAAUUUUCCAUCACCUGGCGGAAUGGUGACUCAAUGGAAUUUUUUAAAAAACAAAAAAAUUGGAAAGCCUUAUUUCUUUCCUGAGUCCGUAGACUGAGAUUCAUGCCUGCUUUGGCUUUAACCAGAGACAGAUGUCAUUUGGCACUUUUGUCUUAUUUCUGAUUUCAAUGGGGCUGCAUCUGCUAUAUUUUUUAGGUAUGAUAUUUGCUAUUAAUUCUAUCAUCAAUGAUGUCAACAUCCAUCUAUUUGAAGUUGGCAAAGAUGUUACUGUUUCUGAAAAUGUUAGAUCAGAAAUAGAUGUUGGAUUUCAUCUAAUGCCUUUUUGGUCUCUAUCAAGACAGUCAUGAUUUUUUUCUCAUUCACCUAUUAAUAAAUUACACAACACAUUUUCUCACAUUUUCUUUUUUUUUGUACUGGGGAUCGAACUCAAAUUUUUUUUUAAACAAUAGGAAUUAUUUAUUGAGUUCUUUCUGUUUAUUUUCUUUCUUUCUUUUUUUUCUGCAGAACCAGGGAUCAAACUCAGGACCUUGUGUUUGCCAGGCAGGUGCAGUGCCACUGAGCUACAACCCCAGCCCAUCAGAUUUUAAUAUACCUUUGACUUUGCCUCUUUGUUUUAAUGCACAGAUAGAUUAUCUACUUAUGAUUUAUUUUCAGUCUUAAAAUCAGUAUUUGUGAGUUUGGUAUGUACAUUUUAAAAACAUUCAGUUGGACAAGCUCGGAUAGGGAGUUAGUUAUACUGGGCUUUUUUUUUUUUUUUUUGCUACUGGGAAUAGAACUCAGGACCUUGCAUUUGCCAGGCAGAUGUGGCACAACUGAGCUAAAUCCCCAGCCCUGUACUGGGCUUUUAGACAACAAACCAUGUUUCUGAGCUUUUCUCAUACCCUAGAUUCUAGAUUGUAAAACUACCUAUUAUCUUUCUUGAAGAUUUACUGGAAAUUCUCCACAUUAUUCAACUGGAGCUGAAAUUUGGGGGGUAUGACUUUUUUUUUUUGGUACCAGGGAUCAAACUUGGGACCUUGCGCUUGCGAGGCAGGCAGCAGAAUCACUGAGCUAAAUCCCUGGCCCUAGACUUUUGAUGGCUCUUUCCUAUCCACAUAAUUUGAUCUACCUGAAUAGUUGGUCUAUCCAAAUUUUCCAUUUCUUUUAGUCAAUUUUAGUCAUUUGUAUUUUAUUUUUAAAAACUGGCCAGGCAUGGUGGUGUAUGUCUGUAAUCCCAACACUCAGGAGGCUGAGGCAGGAGGAUCGCUGUGAGUUUGAGGCCAGCUUGGACUACAUAGUGAGACCCUGUCUCAACCCCCCCCCCAAUAAACUCCCCAAAAUCAUAACUAUUUUGGGUUGAGGAUGUAGCUCAGUGGUACAGCAUAGCCUUACACAGAGGUCCUGGGUUCAAUUCCAGGACUGAAGAGAAAAAUCCAUUUAUUUCAAGGUCUAAACUCUCACAUAUUGGCUUAUAUUAUUAUCACAGUAUCUUUCCCUGAAUCUUGCACUUCAUCUGAAAGCAGUAUUCUUGGACUCCAGAUUGUCCCUUGAAUGUCUUCUUUAAUCUCCCAUAAAUGUGCUUUUUAAAAAAGUUUUUGAUAGAAGGUCUUGCUAUGUAGCUCAGGCUGGCCUGGAUCUCUCAGUCCUCUUGCCUCAGCCUCCUGAGUGCUGGGACCAAAACUUCUUUUUGUUCCCCUCUGAUUCUCCUCCUCUGAUUGCUUUUCUACUCCUGAAUCUUUUCAUGAGCCCAAAGGAGCCUGCUUUUGUCUGCUGUCAGCAGUUGUGCUCUGGGAUUUUUGUUCUAACCUGGACAGACAAAAAAGAAAAGUUGCAUUUAUUCUGACCUUAUCUAUUAGAUUUAGAGGACCAGCUGUGAGCAAAGAGGAAGUGGAUCCCCAGUAGCCAGGCUCUGGCCAUAACAGAGGCUUUCCAAGCUCCCACCACCUGAGUCUCUCCUGAGACUCCUCCAACCUCCCAGCCAUGAAGAACCUCAGGGCCACUUGCUGUCACCUCAAGCCACCUCACGCCACACAGUGGGCUCUGUCCCAUCUGUCUAGGAUGCCCAUGUCCUGUUUCUUGACCUGGGCAAUACAUCUUUGAUUUUCACUUUGACAAUUAUUUAAGUUUUGCACUUAAACUUCAUGUACUUUUCUGUAUGUGUUAUAUUUUACAGUGAAAAUAAUUUAAAAGUAUCUGUAUACAUUCUUAUUAUCUAUGUACUUUUUCUGGAGGAAGACAAUGACAGACUGUUAAUAUGGAGUUUUCUUUAACAUUUUGCUCAACACAAUUCUGUAUUAAAAUAAAUUAUUAUUUUUCACUCUAGAAAAUGAUACAGGCAGCAGAAAAACUCAGGGCUGACCCCAGAUGACCAGAUUCCCUCACAGCUUUGGCUGUGUCCAGAGAGAUUUCAACACACAGCUGUCUCCUUCCUUGAUGACAGACACCCAUGCCUCUGUCCUCAUGCCAGACUGUCAAUUACUCACCAGGCUUGCUUUGAACCUCAGGACCUAAUCUUUGCCAGGUCUAGUUCUGCACACUCCUGGGGGCCAGCUAAGGACCUCAAGGACUAAGGAUAUUCCCUUUUUAAAAAAAUCUUCAAUCACUAUUACUUCUAAUACAAUUUCUCUUACAGAAGAAAAAUAAGAAUAAUGAGCUGGGUUUGAUGGCUCACACUUGUAAUCCCAGCAACUCUGGGAGACUGAGGUAGGAGGACUGCAGUUUGAGCUCGGCAUGGGCAAUUUAGCAAUUUAGUGAGAUCUUGCUUCAAAGCAAAAAAUAAAAAGGGCUGAGGAUGUAGUUCAUCUUGGGUCCUGGGAGUAGGGGAGGGGAGGUAGCAUUUCCAUGGGAGGCAGAGGUUGAAAAAGUGAAGCAGUUUUUUAGACUAAAGUCUAACUUGGCUGGGUCUGCAGAAGUGUGGGCAAAGGCCAAGGAACCAGGUCUAAUAAUGGCAGGUGUGACACCUGCACUGGUGACAAGAGGUCCCAGCAGCAAGUGGAAUGACACUGUUAAUGACAUCACACUCGAGGGUGGGUAGUAGGACUUGGGAGAGCAGAGAACAUGGGUACCAGCAAAGAGAUAACGCUGGGGUCCAGGCAAAGAACAGGAAGGAGGGAGAAGAAAAUGAUGACAAAUAGGGCACUGCUUUACUGCACUGGCAGCUGGGACCCUCUAACCCAGGACGGGGGCAGCCAUGAGCACCAUUCACCUGCCAUGUCAAGCCAACUGGACAGAGUCUCCUCUCAGACCUGACUACUAAAUGCUGGAUCCCAAUGCCAGGGAAAAAGCUCCGCCAAACCCAGAGAAUGGUGAUGCCAUGUACUUGCAAGAGUGGGGGAUAGAGGUGAAGCACACAUGAGAGGACUGGCUAAAAGUCUAAGAAUUAGACUUUAUGCUGACUUCAGAUGAAAACGUAAUGUAUAGUUCAAAAAGCUAAGAGAAAGGAUUUUGAAUGGUUUCACCAUAAAGCAAAGAUAAAUGUUUGAGAAGACAAGUGUUUAACCUGAUCAGAGUAUUUCACAGUGGGAACAUGUAUGAAACAGCACACAUCACCCCAUAAUAUGUGCCAUUUUAAUGUUUUUAUGUGGCAUUUAGAAAAAUAAAUUUAGGAGCCAUGGG